AAUUUUAAAAGAAAUGACUGGGAGCCAUUACCUUGGGUUCUUUCCGGUGAACUUCCACUCGUGAGUAAACGAAUAUAUAGUUUUACCACUAGUCAUGUAGUUCAAUAUUUAUCAUCUUAAUUUAUGUAGAAAAUAACUUUUAAGUGCAAUCCCCAAUUCCUCCUCCGCUAAUUUUUUUUUUCAAAAAAUUAUAAAAAGUAGUGAGAUUAAUAAUUGAAUUCGGGAAGUUAUUAUGCCCUUUACUAGAACAACUUAACCCCCAAAAAAUAAAAAUAAAUAAAAAUCUCCGAUUUGGGAUUAAAUGAGACGCCGAAAGCUGAAGCUUAAGGUAAUAUAUCAUGAUCGAAAUUAUGGAUAUUAAUGGAGAAAAAACAUUUGGAAGCAAAAGUAGUUACCUUCCUCGGCCAUUGAUUGGAGAAAAUAUUAAAGCAGACAUAAUUGUUAGAUCUGACUUACUCAAAUUGAAGACGC
This 471-nucleotide long non-coding RNA is filed under the name Salvia miltiorrhiza (redroot sage). Its description in RNAcentral is "long non-coding RNA (SMIL_LNC012625)". Lineage: Eukaryota; Viridiplantae; Streptophyta; Magnoliopsida; Lamiales; Lamiaceae. The record is from RNAcentral.